RNAcentral lists this long non-coding RNA (646 nucleotides) under Homo sapiens (human). RNAcentral's name for it is "HSALNT0393646". The record is from RNAcentral. Lineage: Eukaryota; Metazoa; Chordata; Mammalia; Primates; Hominidae.
UUUUUUAAAUAGUAUUUUAUUACUUGGAUUUUAAAUAAGAAGUAUUAGUCUUUACAAACAUUUGCACGUGGUUAAAAACAUCAACAAUCGUAUGCAGUUUAAAGACUUUUGCUUUCCAAAUUAAAGAAUAAACACACUUCCUCAAGGACAUACUGCUCAGAUUAGACUACUGCUAUGUACUUAAAAUAAGUUAAAUUUAACCAUUCAUAUAAUAUUAAGGUAACAGAAUGAGAAUAUCUCUUCUUAAUACAAUUAAUAUUUAAUACAUGCUGUAUGUAUAUAUAUAUAUUCAAGGUAAAUGAAUAAAGAUAUGCCAUACCAACACUAAUCAAAUUAAAGCAGGAAAGCUGUAUACAUUUCAGACAGAGCAGACUUUAGAGCAAGGAAAGGAACCCAGAAUAAAGUAGGGCAUUACAUAAUGACAAAAAAGUCAAUCCUCCUAGAAGGCAUAAAGAUCCUCACUAUGUAUAAACUUAACAACACAGCAUCAAAAUAAAUGAGGCAAAAAUUAGUAGGACAGAACAGCAAAGAGAAAUAGAUGAAUUCACUAUUACAAUUGGAGAAUUUAACACCUGUUUUAUCAACAAUGGACAGAUCCAGCAUGUAGAUAAUCAGUAAGAACAUAAUUGAAGUCAACAAUAUCAUC